This 253-nucleotide ribosomal RNA is filed under the name uncultured bacterium. RNAcentral's name for it is "partial 16S ribosomal RNA". It matches the Rfam family "Bacterial small subunit ribosomal RNA", at positions 524 to 776 of the family's 1533-position model. The record is from RNAcentral.
UACAUAGGGGGCUAGCGUUGUCCGGAAUCAUUGGGCGUAAAGCGCGCGUAGGCGGCCCGGUAAGUCCGCUGUGAAAGUCAAAGGCUCAACCUUUGAAUGUCAGCGGAUACUGCCGGGCUAGAGUCCGGAAGAGGCGAGUGGAACUCCUGGUGUAGCGGUGGAAUGCGCAGAUAUCAGGAAGAACACCAACGGCGAAGGCAGCUCGCUGGGACGGAACUGACGCUGAGGCGCGAAAGCGUGGGGAGCGAACAGG